AAUCAAGUUGUACUAAGAGCAUAUAAUGGAUGCCUUGACACUUUGUUCCGAUGAAGGACGUGGAAAACUGCGAUAAGCUUCGGUGAGCCGUUAUACAGGCUUUGACCCGGAGAUUUCCGAAUGGGUGAACCCCGUCGAUGUUAUGAUCGGCGACCCUCAACUGAAUUCAUAGGUUGAGGAGAGGAUACUCAGCGAACUGAAACAUCUUAGUAGCUGAGGAAAAGAAAUCAAAUGAGAUUCCCUUAGUAGUGGCGAGCGAACAGGGAAAAGCCCAAACCCGCUUUAAGCGGGGGUUGUAGGACUCUAACAUAGACUUUACUUUGAUAACCAAAGGACCCUGGAAAGGGCCGCCAUAGAGGGUGAUAGCCCCGUCGGUGAAAUCAAAUUAAACUCUUAAGAUGUUCCUGAGUAGGGUCGGACACGUGAAAUCCGGCUUGAAUCUGGGAGGACCACCUUCCAAGGCUAAACAGACAAAGUGAUCGAUAGCGGACUAGUACCGUGAGGGAAAGGUGAAAAGUACCCCGGGUAGGGGGAUGAAAUAGUAUCUGAAAUUAUAUGCUUACAAAGAGUCGGAGCCCGUCUUUGGCGGGUGACGGCGUGCUUUUUGUAGAACGAGCCAACGAGUUAGCUGUAUCUGGCAAGGUUAAGGAGUUUUAUCCGGAGCCGUAGCGAAAGCGAGUGCGAAUAGCGCGUUCUAGUGACUACUUUCUGAUCACCACUCUUAGAUAGAUUCAAGAUUACAAGAUUAAUUUUGAAUUUUAAAUCUUCAAUAAAUUUAUAUAUAGCAUUUAAACGAAUUAUUAUGACUUACAAAGAUCUUAACGUAUACCAACGGGCACACAGAGUGGCCAUCGAUUUACAUCUUUUUUUAAAUCAAUCGGCGGUCGAGUCGAUCCAUGCGGAUCAGGCCGAUUCGCUUAAGGCUUGUGCAAGGGGUAUUUUAGCCCACAUUGCCGAGCACUUUCAUCAGCGUUCCACCAAGGCAAAACGAUUCUUCCUGUAUCAGGCAAUCGAAUCCUGCCGACGUUUGCUGAUGGAUAUUGAGUUUUUAUCCGACUUACAUCUGAUUCCCCAAGAACAAUCUCAACAUUUUCUUGCGGAAUAUGAUAUUUGUCUAAGACAACUCUUUAAAUUUCAUCGGUCGUUUACCGACCCCAAAGGAGCUGAGCCGGAAGGUUCAGUAGCCUCGAAAGCAUUAACUGCCUCAGCAGCUUAAUCUUUCUCAUAAAGAUGUUGGUGAUUGGAAAGUAGUUACUAGAGUAGUCAGGUGCACUAGACCCGAAACUGGGUGAGCUAUCCAUGGGCAGGUUGAAGCGCGUGUAAAAGUGCGUGGAGGACCGAACCCACUAGAGUUGCAAGUCUAGGGGAUGACCUGUGGAUAGGGGUGAAAUGCUAAUCGAACUCAGAGAUAGCUGGUUCUCCUCGAAAUAGCUUUAGGGCUAGCCUCGAGUCAAUGAGCGAUGGGGGUAGAGCACUGUCAAGGCUAGGGGGCGAAAUAAGUCUACCAAACCUUAACAAACUUCGAAUACCAUCGUUUCUUACCUCGGGAGUCAGACUGUGACAGCUAAGUGCCAUAGUCAAAAGGGAAACAGCCCAGAUCGUCUGCUAAGGUCCCUAAUAUAAGUUAAGUGGUAAAGGAUGUGAGAUGUCACAGACAACCAGGAUGUUGGCUUAGAAGCAGCCAUUCAUUUAAAGAGUGCGUAAUAGCUCACUGGUCUAUCCGCCUUUGGCGGAUGUUUUGCGCCUAAAAUCUAACGGGGCUCAAACUUAUAACCGAAGCAACGAAUUUUCAGCUUUAGGCUGAAAGUGGUAGAGGAGCGUUCCUGUCUGCGUUGAAGUCAGACCGUAACGUCUGGUGGAGCGUCAGGAAGUGAAAAUGUUGGCAUGAGUAACCAUAAUGCCGGUGAAAAACCGGCACACCGAAAACCCGAGGUUUCCCACGCAACGUUAAUCGGCGUGGGGUUAGUCGGUCCUAAGGCGAGGCUGAAAAGCGUAGUCGAUGGACAACAGAUUAAUAUUCCUGUACCGAUUGGGUUCCGCCCAAACAAAUCAUAGUGAAUGCCAGCUUGCAUACUUCUGCCUUCGGGUAGAAUAUGUACUUUGGACUAGUUAUGAGGCGUUAGCAAUGGAGUGACGCGGCGUGGUAAUUUGAGCCUGCCUAUUGAACAUGGUGGGUGCAAGCGAUUAGAGUCAUAUCGAUAUAGGCAAAUCCGUAUCGAUUCGUACUUGAGGCGUUACGCAAAAUGUUCCGAGCAAUCGGAAUGAUUCAAAUGAUCCAUGCUGACUAGAAAACCUUCUAGCGAGGAACCUAAUUGACCGUACCGCAAACCAACUCCGGUGGGUGGGAUGAGUAUUCCUAGGUGAUCGAGAAAACUAGUGUUAAGGAACUCGGCAAAACAGCGUCCGUAACUUCGGGAUAAGGACUUCCUGCCUCACGGCAGGACGCAGCGAAAGACUCCAGGCAACUGUUUACCAAAAACACAGGUCUCUGCUAAAGCGCAAGCUGAUGUAUAGGGGCUGAUGCCUGCCCAGUGCCAGAAGGUUAAGAGGAGAGGUUCACGCUUUGAAUCGAAGCCCUGGUGAACGGCGGCCGUAACUAUAACGGUCCUAAGGUAGCGAAAUUCCUUGUCGGGUAAGUUCCGACCCGCACGAAUGGUAUAAUGGUCUGGAGACUGUCUCAACACUAGACUCGGUGAAAUUGCAGAAUCGGUAAAAAUGCCGAUUAACUACGGCAAGACGAAAAGACCCUAUGAAGCUUUACUAUAGUUUGACAUUGAAUCGGGAUUUAUUUUGUGUAGGAUAGGUGGGAGACUUUGAAGCUUCGACGCUAGUCGAAGUGGAGUCAACCUUGAAAUACCACCCUAAAUACGUUUUGAUUCUAACCUGUGCCAUUAUCUGGCAUGGAGACAGUGUUUGAUGGGUAGUUUAACUGGGGCGGUUGCCUCCUAAAUUGUAACGGAGGCGCGCAAUGGUCCGCUAGGCCUGGAUGGAAAUCAGGCUGAUAGUGUAUUCGCAUAAGCGGGCUUGACUGUAAGAGUUACAACUCGAGCAGGUGCGAAAGCAGGUGAAAGUGAUCCGGCACCUUGUUCCGAUUUUUUAUCGGUACGACCACGUGGGUGGGGUGUCGCUCAACGGAUAAAAGUUACUCUAGGGAUAACAGGCUUAUAGUGCCCAAGCGCCCACAGCGACGGCACUGUUUGGCACCUCGAUGUCGGCUCAUCGCAUCCUGGGGGUGGAGAAGCUCCCAAGGGUAUGGCUGUUCGCCAUUUAAAGCGGUACGCGAGCUGGGUUCAGAACGUCGUGAGACAGUUUGGCCUCUAUCUGUCGUAGUCGAAGGAAAAUUGAGAGACUCUGCUCCUAGUACGAGAGGACCGGAGUGGACUAACCUCUGGUGUACCAGUUGUCGUGUCAACGGCAUUGCUGGGUAGCUAUGUUGGGUUGUGAUAACCGCUGAAAGCAUCUAAGCGGGAAGCCAUUCUCAAGACAAUUUUCCCUAUAGGUCCGAGGAAGACUACCUCGUUGAUAGGUAUCAAGUGUACGUGCAGCAAUGCAUUCAGCUGAGAUAUACUAAUGACCAAUUGACUUUUUUAU
Molecule: ribosomal RNA, 3591 nt
Filed under: Candidatus Peregrinibacteria bacterium
Lineage: Bacteria; Candidatus Peregrinibacteriota
Description: 23S ribosomal RNA
Rfam family: Bacterial large subunit ribosomal RNA
Source: RNAcentral